GUCCUGCCAAGGGCACAGCUGGGUAGCUAAGUAUGGAUCGGAUAAACGCUGAAAGCAUCUAAGUGUGAAGCCGUCCCCAAGAUGAGAUCUCUCACUCUUUAAGAGGUAAGACACCAUGUAGACGACAUGGUCGAUAGGCCAGAGGUGGAAGCGCCGCGAGGCGUGGAGCUGACUGGUACUAAUCAGUCGAGGGCUUGACCUA
RNAcentral lists this ribosomal RNA (202 nucleotides) under Candidatus Onthomonas avicola. RNAcentral describes it as "partial 23S ribosomal RNA". It matches the Rfam family "Bacterial large subunit ribosomal RNA", at positions 2723 to 2925 of the family's 2925-position model. The record is from RNAcentral. Lineage: Bacteria; Bacillati; Bacillota; Clostridia; Eubacteriales; Oscillospiraceae.